GCCCGCGUAGCUCAGUCGGUAGAGCAAUUGCAUGGUAAGCAAUAGGUCAGCAGUUCAAGUCUGCUCGCGGGCU
This 73-nucleotide transfer RNA is filed under the name Candidatus Eiseniibacteriota bacterium. RNAcentral's name for it is "tRNA-Thr". It matches the Rfam family "tRNA". Rfam says of the family: Transfer RNA (tRNA) molecules are approximately 80 nucleotides in length. Lineage: Bacteria; Candidatus Eiseniibacteriota. The record is from RNAcentral.